RNAcentral lists this ribosomal RNA (497 nucleotides) under uncultured bacterium. Its description in RNAcentral is "partial 16S ribosomal RNA". It matches the Rfam family "Bacterial small subunit ribosomal RNA", at positions 28 to 507 of the family's 1533-position model. The record is from RNAcentral.
GAUGAACGCUGGCGGCGUGCCUAAUACAUGCAAGUCGAGCGAACAGAUGAGGAGCUUGCUCCUCUGACGUUAGCGGCGGACGGGUGAGUCACACGUGGAUAACCUACCUAUAAGACUGGGAUAACUUCGGGAAACCGGAGCUAAUACCGGAUAAUAUAUUGAACCGCAGGGUUCAAUAGUGAAAGACGGUUUUGCUGUCACUUAUAGAUGGAUCCGCGCCGCAUUAGCUAGUUGGUAAGGUAACGGCUUACCAAGGCAACGAUGCGUAGCCGACCUGAGAGGGUGAUCGGCCACACUGGAACUGAGACACGGUCCAGACUCCUACGGGAGGCAGCAGUAGGGAAUCUUCCGCAAUGGGCGAAAGCCUGACGGAGCAACGCCGCGUGAGUGAUGAAGGUCUUCGGAUCGUAAAACUCUGUUAUUAGGGAAGAACAAAUGUGUAAGUAACUAUGCACGUCUUGACGGUACCUAAUCAGAAAGCCACGGCUAACUACGUG